AAUCAACGCUGGCGGCGUGCCUAACACAUGCAAGUCGAACGCGAAAGUGGAGCAAUCCAUGAGUAGAGUGGCAAACGGGUGAGUAACACGUGGGUGACCUGCCUUCGAGUGGGGGAUAACGUUUCGAAAGGAACGCUAAUACCGCAUAACAUGCUGUCUUUUAACAGAUGGACAUCAAAGCCGGGGACCGCAAGGCCUGGCGCUUGAAGAGGGGCCCGCGCCUGAUUAGCUAGUUGGUGGGGUAAUGGCUCACCAAGGCAACGAUCAGUAUCCGGCCUGAGAGGGCGGACGGACACACUGGGACUGAGACACGGCCCAGACUCCUACGGGAGGCAGCAGUGGGAAUUGUUCGCAAUGGGCGCAAGCCUGACGACGCAACGCCGCGUGGAGGAUGAAGAUCUUCGGGUCGUAAACUCCUUUCGAUCGAGACGAAUGGCCCUUGGGCUAAUACCCUGAGGGAGUGACGGUACCGAGAGAAGAAGCCCCGGCUAAACUCCGUGCCAGCAGCCG
This 510-nucleotide ribosomal RNA is filed under the name uncultured bacterium. RNAcentral's name for it is "bacterial SSU rRNA". It matches the Rfam family "Bacterial small subunit ribosomal RNA", at positions 32 to 517 of the family's 1533-position model. The record is from RNAcentral.